Molecule: ribosomal RNA, 528 nt
Filed under: Enterococcus faecium
Lineage: Bacteria; Bacillati; Bacillota; Bacilli; Lactobacillales; Enterococcaceae
Description: bacterial SSU rRNA
Rfam family: Bacterial small subunit ribosomal RNA
Source: RNAcentral
CAUUAAGCACUCCGCCUGGGGAGUACGACCGCAAGGUUGAAACUCAAAGGAAUUGACGGGGGCCCGCACAAGCGGUGGAGCAUGUGGUUUAAUUUGAAGCAACGCGAAGAACCUUACCAGGUCUUGACAUCCUUUGACCACUCUAGAGAUAGAGCUUCCCCUUCGGGGGCAAAGUGACAGGUGGUGCAUGGUUGUCGUCAGCUCGUGUCGUGAGAUGUUGGGUUAAGUCCCGCAACGAGCGCAACCCUUAUUGUUAGUUGCCAUCAUUUAGUUGGGCACUCUAGCAAGACUGCCGGUGACAAACCGGAGGAAGGUGGGGAUGACGUCAAAUCAUCAUGCCCCUUAUGACCUGGGCUACACACGUGCUACAAUGGGAAGUACAACGAGUCGCGAAGUCGUGAGGCUAAGCUAAUCUCUUAAAGCUUCUCUCAGUUCGGAUUGUAGGCUGCAACUCGCCUACAUGAAGCCGGAAUCGAUAGUAAUCGCGGAUCAGCACGCCGCGGUGAAUACGUUCCCGGGCCUUGUUAC